This 497-nucleotide ribosomal RNA is filed under the name uncultured bacterium. RNAcentral's name for it is "partial 16S ribosomal RNA". It matches the Rfam family "Bacterial small subunit ribosomal RNA", at positions 28 to 507 of the family's 1533-position model. The record is from RNAcentral.
GACGAACGCUGGCGGCGUGCCUAAUACAUGCAAGUCGAGCGCUGAAGGCUGGUACUUGUACGAACUGGAUGAGCAGCGAACGGGUGAGUAACGCGUGGGGAAUCUGCCUUUGAGCGGGGGACAACAUUUGGAAACGAAUGCUAAUACCGCAUAAAAACUUUAAACACAAGUUUUAAGUUUGAAAGAUGCAAUUGCAUCACUCAAAGAUGAUCCCGCGUUGUAUUAGCUAGUUGGUGAGGUAAAGGCUCAUCAAGGCGAUGAUACAUAGCCGACCUGAGAGGGUGAGCAGCCACACUGGGACGGAGACACGGCCCAAACUCCUGCGGGAGGCAGCAGUAGGGAAUCUUCAGCGAUGGACGAAGGUCUGACCAAGCAACGCCGCGUGAGUGAAGAAGGUUUUCGGAUCGGAAAACUCGGUUGGUAGAUAGGAACGUUGGUGAGAGUGGAAAGCUCAGCAAGUGACGGUAACGGCUCAAAAAGGGACGGCUAACUACGUG